GCAUGAUGCAACUUCUUGGAUGGUGUGUAGGCUGUUUGUCAACAUGUGAAACCCACAUGUAUUUCAGGGAGUACUCUCCCUUGUUUAAGAUCAAUAAUGGCGAAUAUACAAUGUGGUAUGCUGUCUGGUCAUCAACAGAGAGUUUUGACACCUGUAUACCCGUAUCUCUAACAAUCACCUCUGUAACCUUUGUUGUGUUCAUCAGACAGAUGAUGGACCACUCUACUUCCUUUUACAACAGAUGCCCCUACAGAUUCACAAAUAUCCAAUGUUGAGUUUCCAUGACCUUAUUCAUCCACGUCAGGAAAAAGGAAUUAACUUGACAGGACUUUCCACACUGUAAGUGGUAGCAGCUUACGAUGGAACCGACAGCAGUAGACA
This is a long non-coding RNA of Saccostrea echinata, 381 nucleotides long. RefSeq lists it as uncharacterized. The record is from RefSeq and is a predicted model, not a curated record. Lineage: Eukaryota; Metazoa; Mollusca; Bivalvia; Ostreida; Ostreidae. The transcript is spliced from 4 exons.